AAUUGUUAUAUCUGUAUCUCAUCUAGUCAUCCCACUUGGGUAGUUGGAAAUUUGUAUCUACCCUCAGAGAUGGAAGUUUGUAACAACUUUUACAAGUAUGACACAAAAAAUUUAUGCAUUUUAUGAUUUAUUUGAUUUUUUUCUUUUAUCUGGCAUGAUGUAUAUUUGAUUUUUUGUGCUAACGUAUCAUUUUCUUAACAAAUAAAUGGUUUUUAUAAUGGU
RNAcentral lists this long non-coding RNA (222 nucleotides) under Carica papaya (papaya). Its description in RNAcentral is "long non-coding RNA (CPAP_LNC010199)". Lineage: Eukaryota; Viridiplantae; Streptophyta; Magnoliopsida; Brassicales; Caricaceae. The record is from RNAcentral.